CAAUUUUUAUUGAUUGUGCCGAUUAUUCUCGUAUUUAAAUACAAACCUAGGGCUUAGGGUUAGUGUUAAUAUCAUUUUUCUUAUUGUUAUUGCAGAUUAAUUAAUUGGGAGGAGACUGUUCUUUGCACACAGGAUGUGGUCAGACUCGUAGAAAUACAUUUGAUUUACAGAUAAGUUGUUUCUAAUCCUAAAAGCCUAGGUUUAGCUAUCAUAUGAAUUAUUAUAUGCAUAAAGUUAACUGUAAUCAGUGUAGUUAAGUGUUUAGUUUCGGGAAAUACCUUUGUUUUGAUGACCAUGCUUCCUCUUUGCUCCAAUGGUGUAUGAAGAUGUGAUCUUCCUCAUGGUUUGUGAUUUUGGUAGGAUGAGUUCUUUGUCUUAAAGAAGAAUCAGAAGAAUAGUGGUAAAUUCAAUAAUGUUGUGAAGGUUGUCUUAUUUAUUGAGUCAUUUCUUUGGCUUGUCUUGAAAAAAACAUCUAAUUGACUUAAUUAUUCAUGUUUUCAAGCACAUAGAGAAGCUGAAAAGUUUAUGUGUGCUGUUAACCUUUCCCAUUAUUAAACCACAAAAUAUCUUGUGGUUAAUCAUAAAUAGUUGACACCUAGCAUAGAUUGUAAUAUAUACAUUUUUCUGAUUAAUAUGUUUUUAUAUAUUUUGGGAGUGAACAUUCUGGUAUACCUUAAAUCUAUGGGCGACAUACUUUGCCUAACAAAUCUGUUUGAUAUUACAGGAACAACUAUAACGCACGAGAAAGCUCUGUUAGUGAGAAUUUGUGUAUUUCAAAAUUGGAAGUUCAACACUGAUAGAAUUAUGUUAAUGUGAACUCAUUGACAUCAUAUUACAUUGUAAGUAUUCCCCUAUAUGCUAACUUGGACUUUGCAGUUGAAUCCCAUGAUUGUCUAAUAAUUCUUUCGAUUGAGCUUGAGUCA
Ipomoea nil (Japanese morning glory) is the source of this 923-nucleotide long non-coding RNA. RefSeq lists it as uncharacterized. Lineage: Eukaryota; Viridiplantae; Streptophyta; Magnoliopsida; Solanales; Convolvulaceae. The record is from RefSeq and is a predicted model, not a curated record. The transcript is spliced from 2 exons.